This 27-nucleotide non-coding RNA is filed under the name Mus musculus (house mouse). Lineage: Eukaryota; Metazoa; Chordata; Mammalia; Rodentia; Muridae. The record is from RNAcentral.
UAGGAAGCACAAGGACAGGGCAUGUGU